ACCUCCUGCCCCAAAACGGCAAUGCGCCCGCCACCCCGCCCCCAACCGGCGGCGGCGCCACCACCGGCCGACAUCACCCCCCUCUUCCCGAGAUCCUCUUCGAUGCCACUACACUACCGGCCAACCUCGCGCGUCGCCACCCGCUGCAAACCUCGCCGCCGCGGCCUCUUACUGAAUACAACCGGCGGAGCUCGCCACGGCAACCACCGCGUUGUUCCUCUCGUCGCCGCCCUAGAGAGGAACCUCCCAAACAUGCGCCACGGUGGAGCUCGCCUGCCCCAGUGCCUCUUCUUCACGCAUGCCCUUCUUCCUCGCCGGAGCUGAUGUGGGCCGCCGCAUCACCCCGCUGGCCGGGAUCCCCCUCCCCUGCCCCCGCGCCGUCUUGGCCGACCACACUGACCUUCUCAUGAGGGCCACCUUGACCUUCCUGGAAUAUGGUUCAUCCAUGGAGUGGCCGCUCCCGCCCAUCCAUCUCCGGCGAGGUGCGCCAUCCCCUCCUUCAGUGCCCCCUUCGGGUGAAGCUCCAUGCCACCACCAUCAUCACGGCAUUCCAGCCACUAGCACGCACAUGUUGUUCUCCUCGUGACGACCAACUUGAACUUCCUGAGGAACUCUCCGGGAAUUAAACUCUCUGCUUUUGUCACAACUCUCGGCCUUGUUGUCUCCUUUGCCUGUUCUCUGCUUUACAGCGUCUCAAUAGCCAUGGAGAAACCUGAAGAUGCAGUUGGAGAAAACGAAGCACAACAAUAACGAUGACAAAGGCCAGAACGUACAGGCAGCGCUCCGACGAGAGGUCGUGCUUGCCGCCAGCCUCCUUUGCAUAAAGAGUAAGGCUUGAUGUUUAAUAAAAAAGAGUAAGGCAUUUACACUUUUCUUCAGGAAGACAUUUGUAAGUCAAAAAACAUGAACUUUUCUUCAACAAUGAUGUAAUGAUUGAGAACAAAGUUCUGCUAUGCCUGAGAAUAUAUGAAGUACGUGGCUGGUGUUUAUGCAAAUUUUAGUCAAAAAAGAAUUUUUUGAUGAUAUGCAUGUAGUUGUUGUUCGGUACUAAAAUUCAUAUUGUAUUUGUGCUACCGAAUUGAACAUUUGUAUUUAUGCAAAGAUACUUUUGUUGUCCCUACUGCUGAAUCACCCCCCCCCCCC
Molecule: long non-coding RNA, 1143 nt
Organism: Triticum aestivum (bread wheat)
Lineage: Eukaryota; Viridiplantae; Streptophyta; Magnoliopsida; Poales; Poaceae
Exons: 3
Source: RefSeq, a predicted model, not a curated record